RNAcentral lists this non-coding RNA (27 nucleotides) under Mus musculus (house mouse). The record is from RNAcentral. Lineage: Eukaryota; Metazoa; Chordata; Mammalia; Rodentia; Muridae.
UAAGGGGUAAGACAUACAGGGAGGAAC